This 207-nucleotide ribosomal RNA is filed under the name uncultured bacterium. Its description in RNAcentral is "partial 16S ribosomal RNA". It matches the Rfam family "Bacterial small subunit ribosomal RNA", at positions 568 to 774 of the family's 1533-position model. The record is from RNAcentral.
CUCGUAGGCGGUUCGUCGCGUCCGGUGUGAAAGUCCAUCGCUUAACGGUGGAUCCGCGCCGGGUACGGGCGGGCUGGAGUGCGGUAGGGGAGACUGGAAUUCCCGGUGUAACGGUGGAAUGUGUAGAUAUCGGGAAGAACACCAAUGGCGAAGGCAGGUCUCUGGGCCGUCACUGACGCUGAGGAGCGAAAGCGUGGGGAGCGAACA